AUGGAGACACUAGCCCUUUUGGAUAUACCCCGACGGCACACCCUAGUAAUGCCGGGACAUGGGUGGCGACCUUCUGAACCAGGCCUCAUCAAGAUCAUUACGGAUGCUGCAAUCAAACGUGAAGAUGGUAAAGGAGGAGCCGGGGGUGUUGCACACUCCCCUGUUUAUUUUCUUGGGGCAUGGAGUAAACCAUAUCCUGGAGUUAUGGAUCCUCUCAUAGCGGAGGUGAUGGCAGUGCGAGAAGGUGUUAUUUUCGCCAACUUGAGGGGGUUUUCAAAUGUCAUGUUGGAGACGGAUUGUCUGGAGGUAGUCAAACUCUGGAAUACUCGCCAUGAUUCUCGAUCGGCCGUGGCUCCUAUCUUAGUAGAAAUUGGAGAGCUUGCUGGUAGUUUAAAUUCUUUUGAUAUUCAUCAUGUUCCGAGUCAAUGCGGCGGGGCUCCAGGCGAUGCAAGGAAACGACGGGAUCUGGUGCAGCGGUUCAAGGUGGACUGGAUCCGCGGCGAGAGGCAGGUUCUAGUGGUGGAGGGCUCCCAACGAGUAGCCGCCCCUAGGUUUGGGUUGAUUUUAAAUCCGUGUGAUGGAUAUUUCGGUCCUCUCAAGCUUCCUUCAAGAUCGGUUUUAGGAGAGAUUGGCCUCAAACUAAGGACAAAUUAG
Molecule: ribosomal RNA, 654 nt
Filed under: Triticum aestivum (bread wheat)
Lineage: Eukaryota; Viridiplantae; Streptophyta; Magnoliopsida; Poales; Poaceae
Description: partial small subunit ribosomal RNA
Source: RNAcentral